Molecule: long non-coding RNA, 1944 nt
Filed under: Sorghum bicolor (sorghum)
Lineage: Eukaryota; Viridiplantae; Streptophyta; Magnoliopsida; Poales; Poaceae
Description: long non-coding RNA (SBIC_LNC007768)
Source: RNAcentral
GGCUGCCCACUUUCUCCCUAGCCUUAUCUUCUUUCUGAACCCAUAACUCAUGCUCUGUCCCACAACAGUAGCAAUGGACAAUUAAAAUGCGCACAAUUCAAGUUCAAAAUGUGUCGAACACGUUCCGAGUACUAAGAACAAUGCCAGCAUUAGAACCAAAACCUGAUUAGUGUAAGAAAGUUUUCCUGACAUCAAUUGUUCAUCCUAUGCAUUUGGAUCCGGUAGUUAUUUUAAAAAUGGUACACAUCUAGAAACUUAUUUUAAAUAUACAGGAAAUAGAAAAUUGUCAUUUCAUAAUCUAGCAAAGUGACACUUUCCAAACCUAUUUGUGCUAAAAACACAAGCUGUUGUAACCUACAGGUAUAAUGUAGAGUCAAACAUCCUUACAUGUACAUGCCACAACCUUCACCAAAUAUACAUUGCUCGAUCACAAUUGGUUUCUGAUCUUUAGGAAUACAACCUAAGCCAAAUUGAGUUUGAUGCUAUGAAACAAUGCACAAUGAAAUUACCAGGUCAGCGUGAACUUGGUUAAUAACCUGACAUUAGAGGUAGAGCUUUGACCAAAUAGAAAUAAGCAGUCUAAGUAAUUAAGUGCUGAACACCUAAGAAAAGUAUCAAAAUUCUGGUUUACCGAUUGGAGAUUAAGUUGGACAGGGAGCAGUGGUCCACCUUGGUCUCAACACAUGGAUUAGCUGGUUCGGCUGCAAGAUGCCUAGGGUGGUAGCUCUCUUCUGUUGCAAUACAUCUUAUCAGCUCAAGUACUGAAAUACCAUGUACAAUAGUAAUUAAUUCUCUGCAAAAAAAAAACUGUGUGAGAUUGAAUCUGCAAGCACAAAAAAACAGAACUGGCCAAAGCUUAAAAACCUUUUGCAUCUAAAUGCAAUAUCUUGUCUCAUGUCUCACCUAUUCAAGUCAAAAUGCACCAGCUGCAUGUCUUCUGAUAUCUCGACUUGCACAGCUCCAUAAGAUGAAGUCUGCAAUAAAGAAGUUCUAAAACCAUGUGCAAUCUAGAUGCUACUGCUUUUGCCAUCUAGAGUAAUAUUAAUAUAGAAGCAUCCCACAAGAAACUGCAUCUAAAAAACAUCCCAAAAGAAACUGCAUUUGCCCAGAUUAUUUGCCCAUCUACCACUAUAUGUACUAUUUUACCAUCUAAAAAGAAAUAGCUGCAAACAUUUCUACAUUCUAUGUAGUGUCAAACAAACUCAUCCUUGUGCAGAGAAUUAAUCUGCCAAUAAUUUCCUGUUUUUUUCAAAAAAAAUCUACCAAUAAUCAAUUAAGUAAACUAAUGAUAUCUAUUAUGGGUCAAAUUAUUGAUCGAGAUUGGACUGAAGUGAAUACAACUAUAUGAACAUGGCUAGCAAAUUUUAGGAGAGUUUUUCCCUCUCCUUCAUUGCCUUUGCUUGGAAAUUGGAAACAAAAGGCACUGCCUCAUCAGACUAUCUGUGAACUUGUGUACGGCUAAAUGUUGUAGUGUCUUUUUUUUUUAUCUUUUCGCUCAUAAACAGAUCCUCAUACAGAGAUCAAGAGAAGAAGCUAAAAUAUGUUUUAUUAAUCCUAAAAGCAAAAGCAAGAUCUUAAAAUGACUUCAAAAUGGCAUCUGCAGUCCAUAUUGCGGAUGCUGGAAAAUCAGCAUGUAUUGAUUUGUAUGUUUGACUAAUUGAACUAUGCAAUGCAACCUUGUCAUCAAGAACCAUGAUCCCGAUGCAGCUAUAGGGUUGGAAUGAAGAGCAUGUGCUGCACAGUGAUAGAAUUAUAUAAAAGACAGCUGGAUUUAAAGUUCUUAUUCAGCACUUACACGUCCAGAGAAUCACCGUUCUUAUUCAGUCUACAGAACAAAAUAUUUCAGCAUAUACCUCCCCGGAUUCAACUGGAGCAAGCUCUAGCGCCCAGCAGUUUCACCGUGUCGAUCUGCUCGUGCAUGUCGUCCAGAGUAGUCACUGCAGC